This 424-nucleotide ribosomal RNA is filed under the name uncultured bacterium. RNAcentral describes it as "bacterial SSU rRNA". It matches the Rfam family "Bacterial small subunit ribosomal RNA", at positions 358 to 774 of the family's 1533-position model. The record is from RNAcentral.
GGAAUCUUCCACAAUGGACGAAAGUCUGAUGGAGCAACGCCGCGUGAGUGAAGAAGGUUUUCGGAUCGUAAAACUCUGUUGUUGGAGAAGAACACGUUUGAGAGUAACUGUUCAGACGUUGACGGUAUCCAACCAGAAAGCCACGGCUAACUACGUGCCAGCAGCCGCGGUAAUACGGAGGAUGCGAGCGUUAUCCGGAUUUAUUGGGUUUAAAGGGAGCGCAGGCUGAUGAUUAAGCGUGACGUGAAAUGUAGCCGCUCAACGGCUGAACUGCGUCGCGAACUGGUUAUCUUGAGUGAGUUCGAUGUUGGCGGAAUUCGUGGUGUAGCGGUGAAAUGCUUAGAUAUCACGAAGAACUCCGAUUGCGAAGGCAGCCAACAAGGCCUUUACUGACGCUAAAGCUCGAAGGUGCGGGUAUCGAACA